Molecule: ribosomal RNA, 289 nt
Filed under: uncultured Enterobacteriaceae bacterium
Lineage: Bacteria; Pseudomonadati; Pseudomonadota; Gammaproteobacteria; Enterobacterales; Enterobacteriaceae
Description: partial 16S ribosomal RNA
Rfam family: Bacterial small subunit ribosomal RNA
Source: RNAcentral
CUUAACACAUGCAAGUCGAACGGUAAAGUAGCUUGCUACUUACGAGUGGCGGACGGGUGAGUAACGUAUGGGAAUUUACCGAAUGGAGGGGGACAACAGUUGGAAACGGCUGCUAAUACCGCAUAACGUCGAGAGACCAAAGGGUUUCGACUUGCCAUUUGAUGAGCCCAUAUGAGAUUAGCUAGUUGGUGUGGUAAUGGCUCACCAAGGCGACGAUCUCUAGCUGGUUUGAGAGGAUGACCAGCCACACUGGGACUGAGACACGGCCCAGACUCCUACGGGAGGCAGC